This 808-nucleotide long non-coding RNA is filed under the name Mytilus galloprovincialis (Mediterranean mussel). The record is from RNAcentral. Lineage: Eukaryota; Metazoa; Mollusca; Bivalvia; Mytilida; Mytilidae.
CAAUCUUCGAAAUUUGAACAAGUUCUUAUUAUAUUAAAGUUACAUGAUAUAAAAUGCUAAAGUUUUAGUUUUUUUACGAAAUUGUACGAUGAUACAGUAAAUGUAAAAUAUUUCACAUAUGAGGUGUUAUGUAUAUUAUGUCUCAGGGGCGGAUUAGGGGGGACUCCUGGAACUUAUGUUUGGACCCCCCUUUUCCCCCUUUUGAAAAUGGCUGGAUCUGCCCCUGUAUCUUGAUUUAAGAGUACUAAGUAACACAGGUACUUAUUUACAUGUAGGUUUCAAAGAAACACAAUAGCUGCAUUUGCAUAUUUAUGACACGGUAUUAUCGCUAAAUGUUUGUUAUCAUCCUCCUUUUGUAUACUUCAAAUUCAUAUUGUAUACCAGGCAGUACUGUUUAUUAUAUGUUGUGUCCACAUAUAUUAUACGUCGUUUGUUUUAAAAACAAUAUAUAAACCAUUAAGAUUAAGUCAAGACAAGACAAACCUAAAGAGGGAUCAGUUUGGCUUUGGACAGGCGAGUGAAGAUGUCCAAAAUAUGAAUAAAAAAAUAAUUGAAAAAAAUGUAUAACAAUCAACAAUUGACUAAGCUGUUUGAACAUACAUAUCAGCUAUAGAACUUGUACAUGAGCAUAUGGAUCCAGUAGAUACUUUGUUUACAUUUUCUCAUACAAAUAAAAACUAGAUAAACAAGUCAAAUAUAAAGAAAUACUCACGUAAAAGAUUCCUGAUGUUUCCUCCUGUUUUGGUAUGAUUCUUUCUCUAAAUAAAAUUCUCAUUGCAAUUUAUAAAACAGAAAAAUUUGAUGUUUU